Molecule: ribosomal RNA, 253 nt
Filed under: uncultured prokaryote
Description: partial 16S ribosomal RNA
Rfam family: Bacterial small subunit ribosomal RNA
Source: RNAcentral
UACAGAGGGGGCAAGCGUUGUUCGGAAUUACUGGGCGUAAAGGGCGCGUAGGCGGCCUGUUAAGUCGAACGUGAAAUCCCCGGGCUCAACCCGGGAACUGCGUCCGAUACUGGCAGGCUUGAAUCCGGGAGAGGGAUGCGGAAUUCCAGGUGUAGCGGUGAAAUGCGUAGAUAUCUGGAGGAACACCGGAGGCGAAGGCGGAUCACUGGACUGCCACUGACGCUGAGGCGCGAAAGCUAGGGGAGCAAACAGG